GGAGAGUUUAUAGUCCUGAGAGUUGAACACUGGAUGACUGACAGCUGUCCUUCAUCACAACAGAAGACACAGAAAUCCUCCUCAUCAAAAACAUGACUUUGAUCUGCGUCCUCAUCUGGACUCUCCUCUGCUUCACUCAGGGGUCUGAUGGACAAAAUGUUGUUAUGACUCAGUCAGCAGCCAAAUCAGUGCAGCUCGGCCAGACUGUUACUAUUGACUGUAAGGCCAGUCAGGCACUUUUAACAUCUUCUUGCAUCUCCAAUUCACAGGUCUGCCUGUCCUGGUACCACCAGAAACUUAGAGAAGCUCCUAAAGCUCUGAUCUAUGGAACAUCAUCUAGAUUUUCAGGAAUCUCCUCCAGGUUCAGUGGAAGUGGAGCAGGGAAUGGAUUAGACUUCACUCUGACCAUCAGUGGAGUCCAGGCUGAAGAUGUAGGAGUUUAUUACUGUCAGAGUUAUCAUUACAUCAACAGUCAGUCUGUGUUCACACAGUGAAAAACCAUCGUACAAAAA
Non-coding RNA from Girardinichthys multiradiatus, 512 nucleotides. NCBI's taxonomy places the organism in Eukaryota, Metazoa, Chordata, Actinopteri, Cyprinodontiformes, Goodeidae. The record is from the annotation of a RefSeq genome assembly.